GUCGUCAGCUCGUGUCGUGAGAUGUUGGUUAAGUCCCGCAACGAGCGCAACCCCUAUUGUUAGUUUGCCAUCAUUCAGUUUGGGCACUCUAGCGAGACUGCCGGUAAUAAACCGGAGGAGGUGGGGAUGACGUCAAAUCAUCACGCCCCUUAUGACCUGGGCUACACACGUGCUACAAUGGUUGGUACAACGAGUUGCGAGUCGGUGACGGCGAGCUAAUCUCUUAAAGCCAAUCUCAGUUCGGAUUGUAGGCUGCAACUCGCCUACAUGAAGUCGGAAUCGCUAGUAAUCGCGGAUCAGCACGCCGCGGUGAAUACGUUCCCGGGCCUU
RNAcentral lists this ribosomal RNA (330 nucleotides) under uncultured Streptococcus sp. RNAcentral describes it as "bacterial SSU rRNA". It matches the Rfam family "Bacterial small subunit ribosomal RNA", at positions 1051 to 1382 of the family's 1533-position model. The record is from RNAcentral. Lineage: Bacteria; Bacillati; Bacillota; Bacilli; Lactobacillales; Streptococcaceae.